RNAcentral lists this transfer RNA (64 nucleotides) under Cavia porcellus (domestic guinea pig). It matches the Rfam family "tRNA", at positions 1 to 62 of the family's 71-position model. From Rfam's summary of the family: Transfer RNA (tRNA) molecules are approximately 80 nucleotides in length. The record is from Rfam by way of RNAcentral. Lineage: Eukaryota; Metazoa; Chordata; Mammalia; Rodentia; Caviidae.
AGGGAUUUAGCUGAGUGGCUCAAGCACUUGCCUGGUAAGCAUGAGGUUUUAAGUUCGAUCCCUA